RNAcentral lists this long non-coding RNA (396 nucleotides) under Homo sapiens (human). RNAcentral describes it as "HSALNT0389425". The record is from RNAcentral. Lineage: Eukaryota; Metazoa; Chordata; Mammalia; Primates; Hominidae.
GUGAGUCUACACCCCUCUGGGCUACCACCCCUCACCUCAUGCUGUCUCCUGAAAAGGACUCUUCCCCUGGACUGAAACAGGCUUGGCACAUCACCUACAGGUAUCUGGGCAACCAGAUGAAUAAAUGAGGCUCCAGAGAUGAAGUAACAUACUCAAGGCAAGACUUUGUAAAGAAGCCCCUAAAAUGAUAGCAAACUCUGCAGGGGCUCAGGCCUUGAAGACACCAGGUGCAGGGAGAUGAGUACUUUGAAGAAGAAAGAAGCCAAGCCCAAGUACAGUUAGCCAUAGAACUGAGCUCCAUGCCUAUGCACUCUGCCUCUAGACUGAUGUAGGGCAAGUGAGCCCCCAAAUUGGGACUUAGACCGGAAGAGUUCUUGGCUUCACCCAGGAAAUAAU